Molecule: long non-coding RNA, 610 nt
Organism: Odontomachus brunneus
Lineage: Eukaryota; Metazoa; Arthropoda; Insecta; Hymenoptera; Formicidae
Exons: 3
Source: RefSeq, a predicted model, not a curated record
UGAUGUUAUGUUAUGUUACUAUUACUUUAUGUUUACUGUAUUUAUCAUAACAAUUUGUAUAUAGAUAUUUCUACGGUUUGUUUUAUUGUUUACCACAGAAAAAAUCAUGAUUUUAGGUUAAGUAGUACUCCAAACUUGUUUGCUACAUUUAAAUUAGUAACAUUUACAGGAAAGACACAAGUAAUUUUAAAUUCACGACAAGAACAGAAUAUUUAUUUAAAAAGGAAAGGCUUAAUUUAUCGAAAAGAUUCAGAUAGUGACAUAUCAGAUUAUAUAACAAAUACUAGCUCAAACAGCUCCGAUGAAAAUAUAAUUAAUGCUCCAAGGAAGCAGAAAAAUCAAGCACCAUACUGUAAACAAAUAAAAAAAAGAUGGACAACUGAAGAAGUAACGGAAGCUAAAACAUAUUUCUCGAAAUACAUACGUAAAGGAAAGUUACCUCCUCUAUCAAAAAUAGAGGAAAUAAAAGCGACAUAUAACGUCCUAAGAAAUAGAAAACCAGACGUAAUAAAAACAUGGAUACAUAACCAGUUAAAGAAAACUAAAGCUCUUAAGUAAAAUGAUUAUUUUAUUUUAUUGUUUAUUUGAUUAUUUUAUAUGAUAAUUUUAU